UAAUAUAAAGGUUCAGAUUCCAAAGUAGAAGAAGAGGAACCAGAAAAGGCAGGGAGUUGGCAAACAUAAUCCUUAAGAUAGGAAGGAGGAUUAUGCUGUCUAGUGGAUUUUCUCGGAGCAGGAAGAGGUUGUGAAGAAGGCAAAACAGGGGGAGAGAUAUCAUGAUUGAAAGAAGGAAGGGAAGAUGGAUCAGCAUCAGUAAAA
This 204-nucleotide long non-coding RNA is filed under the name Nicotiana benthamiana. RNAcentral's name for it is "long non-coding RNA (NBEN_LNC000137)". Lineage: Eukaryota; Viridiplantae; Streptophyta; Magnoliopsida; Solanales; Solanaceae. The record is from RNAcentral.